UAUAUACAUAUAUAUCUCUAUAUGUAAAUGAAGUUAGAUUUAUAAAUGUGUAUAGUUAUAUAGUAAGAGGAAUAGGAAUGUUUAGAUGGAGAGAUUGAUGGAUAGAUUGUUGUUUGUGUAGGCCUAGGCUGCAUUUGUACCUCUUUCCCCCUCGGCUGCCUUUUUCACCUCUUGCUUUUCCCCCGGUGCCCCCUGUGUCCCCUGUCCCUGUGCUGGGUCCGAGCUGGCGGCCGGGCCGGGCGGAGCAGCACUUCCAGCCCCGGCUGUCCCUGGAGCGGUGGGAGCUGCCGCUGGCCCCAGGCACUGUCCCCUGAGGAGCUGCUGAAGGACGCUGCAAGGAAGACCUUGAGGAGAGCCAGAGACUGACGGGAGGCAGCAGGGAGGAGCUGAAGGCCAGCAGCAAGAGCAGUGAACGGGGACCUGCUGCUGCCAGCCUGGAGAGAGCCCGGAUGUCCCAUCUGCUGUCGCUGUCCAGGAGAGCUGCUCUGCACGGGAGGAGGAGACCGAGGGAGAGGCUUUGAAGGUGGGGCAGCUGGGAUCCCUCUGCUUGGAGUUCCAUGUAGACAUGUCCAGAAGUGCACAUAGAGAUGGAUUAUCAUUUGGAUAUGUACAUAUGUGGGUUGCUAUUUGUAUAGGACUAUUUCUGUAUGUAUGGUGUUCAGGGAUGUAUGCUCUGUAUAUAUGUAUGAUUAUACAUACAUAUAUGUUUGUAAUUACAUCUACGUGUAUAUUUGUAUCUAAGUAUACAUGGAUGUUGUUAUAUCUGUGUUUAGUUCUGUUUCCUAUUUAUACAGUUGUGUUGCUAUUUAUUUCUAUUGAUGCAGCUA
This is a long non-coding RNA of Melospiza melodia melodia, 827 nucleotides long. RefSeq lists it as uncharacterized. The transcript has 3 exons. The record is from RefSeq and is a predicted model, not a curated record. Lineage: Eukaryota; Metazoa; Chordata; Aves; Passeriformes; Passerellidae.